Molecule: non-coding RNA, 697 nt
Organism: Phalacrocorax carbo (great cormorant)
Lineage: Eukaryota; Metazoa; Chordata; Aves; Suliformes; Phalacrocoracidae
Source: RefSeq, a predicted model, not a curated record
GGGGCGGGAGUGGGAAGAUGGUGGCAGGGUGGGGGUCGGUGAGGGGAACGGUGGGACGGCGGCGGCGGCCCCUGCUCCGCGCUGAGGACGGCCAGAAGCUGCGCGCAGUAGGUACAGCCUAGCAGUGCCGUUUCCUUACAGCAAGAGACGUGGUGACGCCAGUAGCACGAUGCGCUGUAGGCAGCACGGCUCUUCCACCAGUCCAGUCAAUGCUAUCCAACGUGAAACAGCGAAGCCUUCACGUUGGGCGCGAAGCAAACUCUACCAGUUAUUGUGCCAUGGUAAAGAAAUACUAACUUCAGGAUCCAGCAGUAUGUAACAUCGCUGGGGACCCUUGAAGCUGAAUGGAGCCGUGUUCCUGUAAUGCUCCAGUUGAGCUAAUAUCGUGAACUGUAAGACUGAUGUUCCCAGGGCUGCACUCCCAGCUGUUUUAAACAGGAAGCUCUUCCACUAUCGCUUCAGUUCAGCAAACAAGGCCGCUUCCUUAACAAUACAAUAACAGGAAUUUGAUCAGAAACUUCAAAAUUCAGUUUGCGAAGUCAUGAAGGUGAUUGCUUUCAUUCUUGCAUUAUCUCCAGUAUUUAGCUAUAAAACUUAUGCUUUUUGUUUGGAAAAAAAUGGCUUUCCUCAUAUUCUUUUCACAAGGAGGGGUCUGACUUUUUUACGAUCAUUAAAAUAUUGUUCCUGUUUUGUGAGA